Molecule: ribosomal RNA, 906 nt
Filed under: uncultured bacterium
Lineage: Bacteria
Description: bacterial SSU rRNA
Rfam family: Bacterial small subunit ribosomal RNA
Source: RNAcentral
UGGAGUUUGAUCCUGGCUCAGGACGAACGCUGGCGGCGUGCUUAACACAUGCAAGUGGAGCGACGAACCGGGGCUUGCCCCGGGGCAGAGCCGCGAACGGGUGAGUAACACGUGGGUAACCCACCCCGAUGACCGGGACAACCCGAGGAAACUCGGGCUAAUACCGGAUGUGGUCGCCUUUCAUAAGGGAGACGACUAAAGAUAGCUUCGGCCUACGCAUCGGGACGGGCCCGCGGCCCAUUAGCUUGUUGGUGGGGUAACGGCCUACCAAGGCUCCGAUGGGUAGCUGGUCUGAGAGGACGAUCAGCCACACUGGGACUGAGACACGGCCCAGACUCCUACGGGAGGCAGCAGUGGGGAAUCUUGCGCAAUGCGCGAAAGCGUGACGCAGCAACGCCGCGUGGGGGAAGAAGGCCUUCGGGUUGUAAACCCCUUUCAGUUGGGACGAAGCUUCGUCGGUUAAUAGCCGGCCGGAGUGACGGUACCUUCAGAAGAAGCCCCGGCUAACUACGUGCCAGCAGCCGCGGUAAUACGUAGGGGGCUAGCGUUGUCCGGAAUCAUUGGGCGUAAAGCGCGUGUAGGCGGUCCGGUAAGUCCGCUGUGAAAGUCGGGGGCUCAACCCUCGGAUGCCGGUGGAUACUGUCGGGCUUGAGUACGGAAGAGGCGAGUGGAAUUCCUGGUGUAGCGGUGAAAUGCGCAGAUAUCAGGAGGAACACCAAUUGCGAAGGCAGCUCGCUGGGACGUUACUGACGCUGAGACGCGAAAGCGUGGGGAGCAAACAGGAUUAGAUACCCUGGUAGUCCACGCUGUAAACGAUGGGCACUAGGUGUGGGGGGUGUCGACUCCCUCCGUGCCGAAGCUAACGCAUUAAGUGCCCCGCCUGGGGAGUACGGCCGCAAGGCUAAA